UACGUAGGGGGCAAGCGUUGUCCGGAAUCAUUGGGCGUAAAGCGCGUGUAGGCGGCCCGAUAAGUCCGCUGUGAAAGUCCAGGGCUCAACCCUGGGAUGCCGGUGGAUACUGCUGGACUAGAGUGCGGAAGAGGCGAGUGGAAUUCCCGGUGUAGCGGUGAAAUGCGCAGAUAUCGGGAGGAACACCAAUUGCGAAGGCAGCUCGCUGGGACGUUACUGACGCUGAGACGCGAAAGCGUGGGGAGCAAACAGG
RNAcentral lists this ribosomal RNA (253 nucleotides) under uncultured bacterium. Its description in RNAcentral is "partial 16S ribosomal RNA". It matches the Rfam family "Bacterial small subunit ribosomal RNA", at positions 524 to 776 of the family's 1533-position model. The record is from RNAcentral.